GAGUUUUCUUGAUUUCCCUAGUAGCUCAGAUGGUAAAGAAUCUGCCUACAGUGCAGGAGACCUGGGUUCGAUCCCUGGGUCAGGAAGAUCCCCUGGCGAAAGGGAACGGCAACCUACUCCAGUAUUCUUGCCUGGAGAAUCCCAUGGACAGAAAAGCCUGGAGGGCUGAAGUCCAUGGGGUCGCAUAGAGUCGGACAGAACUGAGUGAUCAACACACACACAGCUUUCUUAGGAGUCUCCUCCGUCAUCUUUCUGAUCUGGUCUGAGACAAGAUGUUUAUGACUGAGUUACUUCUGCAACUUCUCAUCUGUUGGUGGGUGUUAUACCUGCUGCGGACUAAAGUCAGGGAGCUGGACCUGGGCAGCUUGAUUAACUGGAUUUGGACACCAUGGCUUGACUCCACAAGCACCCAACUGUCCCCGACUUGCCUUGGCUCCUCGCCACAUGCGCAUCUGUGUGGCCCGUGGGGAAAGGUCAAGGUCAUGCGGCUUUUUCAUAGAGGCCAUUUGGUCACAUGGAUUCCCAGCAAGAGAAGGAGGAUGAAUCACAGCAGCUCCAUCGCCCUGUAACAAACAGCUCCGAACGCAUGCCCCACUGAGCAU
Molecule: long non-coding RNA, 602 nt
Organism: Bos taurus (domestic cattle)
Lineage: Eukaryota; Metazoa; Chordata; Mammalia; Artiodactyla; Bovidae
Source: Ensembl